Molecule: long non-coding RNA, 619 nt
Organism: Chenopodium quinoa (quinoa)
Lineage: Eukaryota; Viridiplantae; Streptophyta; Magnoliopsida; Caryophyllales; Amaranthaceae
Exons: 2
Source: RefSeq, a predicted model, not a curated record
AGAGUGUUAGCAAAGGCAUGAAGCAAAUGAGCAAAGUUUAUCAACUUCUUAAUUAAGCUCAUUAAUUCGUACUUUGUUGCGUAGAGAUCAAAACUCACAACAUGUUGGGCCGACGUAAACUUGCCAUCUUAGCCUUUCUUACGCUUAUUGCUUCAGUUGCCGUUCAUGCAAAGUUACAACCAACAAGCAUUAUAGAAGGAGUUGAUGAAAAAGGAGUUUAUUCCAUCUAUGAAGAUGAAAAAAGCCUAGACUCAAGCCAGCAACUGAUCAUGAUGCCGAAAGAUGACUAUGAUUGUAUGCCGUCGGGCGAUGUGUGUUCCGGUGACGGACCUCCAGAACAGUGUUGCUCUGGUGCCUGUGUCCCUCAUCCGACGCUUAGGGUGUUUGUGUGUGCUUGAGCCUUUUAAGUUAUGUAUGACUAUAAAUCAACACCACCUUCCCCUAGUCUUUACUCAUGUGUGCUUGUCUUUUGUAAUAAAAUGGGGUAAAGGGGUAAAUACUUUACUGUAAUAAUAAGGUGCACAAGGAUAUAUAGAUAUACAUAAUGUAUGUCCUUCAACUUUAAUUACAUUUCCUUCAUAUAAUUAAAUAUAAAUAUAUCAUAGUUAUAAAUUGUAAA